GGAUUCGUAACCUCAGGUCGUCGCUCGAAAAUAAUGUUUCCCACUCUAUUGACUUUGAGGAAACCGUAUUUAACUCUGAAAUGGCCCAGCUGAAAGACAGCAUGAAGCUUGUCCAGGAAAGACUUAUGAAAGAAAUGCAAGAAGAGGAGCUCCUCAGUGUGCGCAGGGGUCUUCAGUCUCUCUUUAUGGCCGGAGCCCGGACUUUCUAAAGACUCUAGAAAAGGAAAGUCAUCGGGAAGGUGAUUUGUUUGGCCUUUGAAUUUCAGUUCUCACAGUUGCUAUUUUCAUGUUUUUGUGCCUUUUUAUUGUUUACGCUAUUAGUUUUGAUAAAAAAUGCAUGGUUUUAAAA
Long non-coding RNA from Spea bombifrons (plains spadefoot toad), 349 nucleotides. RefSeq lists it as uncharacterized. The record is from RefSeq and is a predicted model, not a curated record. NCBI's taxonomy places the organism in Eukaryota, Metazoa, Chordata, Amphibia, Anura, Pelobatidae. The transcript has 3 exons.